This 404-nucleotide ribosomal RNA is filed under the name uncultured Collinsella sp. RNAcentral's name for it is "bacterial SSU rRNA". It matches the Rfam family "Bacterial small subunit ribosomal RNA", at positions 355 to 776 of the family's 1533-position model. The record is from RNAcentral. Lineage: Bacteria; Bacillati; Actinomycetota; Coriobacteriia; Coriobacteriales; Coriobacteriaceae.
UGGGGAAUCUUGCGCAAUGGGGGCAACCCUGACGCAGCGACGCCGCGUGCGGGACGGAGGCCUUCGGGUCGUAAACCGCUUUCAGCAGGGACGAGGAAAGACUGUACCUGCAGAAGAAGCCCCGGCUAACUACGUGCCAGCAGCCGCGGUAAUACGUAGGGGGCGAGCGUUAUCCGGAUUCAUUGGGCGUAAAGCGCGCGCAGGCGGCCGCGCAGGCGGGGGGUCAAAUCCCGGGGCUCAACCCCGGGCCGCCCCCCGAACCGCGCGGCUUGGGUCCGGCAGGGGAGGGUGGAACGCCCGGUGUAGCGGUGGAAUGCGCAGAUAUCGGGCGGAACACCGGUGGCGAAGGCGGCCCUCUGGGCCGAGACCGACGCUGAGGCGCGAAAGCUGGGGGAGCGAACAGG